UACGUAGGUGACCAGCGUUGUCCGGAUUUACUGGGCGUAAAGAGCGCGCAGGCGGUCGUUCAAGUCGGGUGUGAAAGCCCCCGGCUCAACUGGGGAGGGUCAUUCGAUACUGAUCGACUUGAAGGCAGGAGAGGGAAGCGGAAUUCCCGGUGUAGUGGUGAAAUGCGUAGAUAUCGGGAGGAACACCAGUGGCGAAGGCGGCUUCCUGGCCUGUUCUUGACGCUGAGGCGCGAAAGCUAGGGGAGCAAACGGG
Molecule: ribosomal RNA, 253 nt
Filed under: uncultured bacterium
Lineage: Bacteria
Description: partial 16S ribosomal RNA
Rfam family: Bacterial small subunit ribosomal RNA
Source: RNAcentral